RNAcentral lists this ribosomal RNA (253 nucleotides) under uncultured bacterium. RNAcentral describes it as "partial 16S ribosomal RNA". It matches the Rfam family "Bacterial small subunit ribosomal RNA", at positions 524 to 776 of the family's 1533-position model. The record is from RNAcentral.
GACGUAGGGCGCGAGCGUUGUCCGGAUUUAUUGGGCGUAAAGAGCUCGUAGGCGGUCUGUCGCGUCUGCUGUGAAAACUCAGGGCUUAACCCUGAGCUUGCAGUGGGUACGGGCAGACUAGAGUGCGGUAGGGGAGACUGGAAUUCCUGGUGUAGCGGUGAAAUGCGCAGAUAUCAGGAGGAACACCGGUGGCGAAGGCGGGUCUCUGGGCCGUAACUGACGCUGAGGAGCGAAAGCGUGGGGAGCGAACAGG